Molecule: long non-coding RNA, 2171 nt
Organism: Theobroma umbraticum
Lineage: Eukaryota; Viridiplantae; Streptophyta; Magnoliopsida; Malvales; Malvaceae
Source: RefSeq, a predicted model, not a curated record
AGGAAGAAAGGAGAAAGAAGAAAUAGUUGAGUGAAAAGGCAAACUAAGUGAAGCUUCGAUUUUGUGGGAUUUACAGCACCCAUGAGCUCUUUCUCUCUAUUUUCCUAUCAUUAAGCUUCAUUACUUCUAGGAAUUUAUCCUUUAUUGAGAGAUAUGGGUUAGAUCUCUGGUAGAUACGAAAUAUUUAGAGAAAAAGAAGGUGGAUGAUCCACAGGUUCAACCAAGUUAUGCAAAAGUCCUCCAAGAUUUGUAAGAAAUAGAUGCAUACAUGAGGGUUGAUCUUAGAAGUAUGGUGAUUUUGUGCAAGACAAGUAAUGGCAAUGGUGACCAAGGAUGUGAGGAGAUUGUGAACUAUAUGUGGAACCCAAGAUAAAGAUUGGAAGGUAAGCAUACAAUGUGAGUACACUAUGUUGUGUUGGCUUUGGUUAGUUGAAAGUAUGUGGAUUGCAUGUUAAAUUGUUAUGAAUGAUGAGGAUGAAAAAUGUGAUAUUAGAUUAAGGAUUAAUUGAUUGAAGUGUUGCCCGUACAUGUGUGUAAUUAAAUAUAAUGAGUUUGAAUUGUUGCUAGGAAGCGUGUAAAUGAGGAAGGUUUGCCGUGGUGGCAUACCGAAAGAAAUAACAGGUGACCGGCAAGUAGAAUCAGCUAGAAACACACUCGAACCAAUAGCGACAUAGUGUCCCACUAUUGAAAAGUGAGUAGAGGGUGCCUAUUUAAAAAAUUUUCAUAACUACAUAAUGAUAUACGUAUAGUAAAUGUUGCUAGUUUUCUUUAAAUGCAUUUGUGGAAAGCAUGAGUUGCUAGAAAAUGAUAGGUAGUUUCAAAUACUUAUUUGCGAAAGAUUUAUACACUGUUAUUAUGGAAAGCAUGAGCUACUAGAAAUACUAGGCAAUUGUGGAUGCCAUGACUUUUGAAAUUGCUUUGAAUAUAUAAAUAUAUAUAUAUAAGCUAUAUAUGUAAUUAAAAAUCAGGAAACAAGCUCUUUAACACUAAUUAUGUCAAAAUUUACCUUAUUUUUUGUGUGAUGUGUAUUCAUGAAUAAAUUACAUGUUCACCAUGCCGAUUUGAUAUUUAAACCUCAUGCAAAGGUUUUAUAUUAUAAAGUCUUACAAAAGGGUUUUAUUAUAUUAACAUGAAUGGUAUUUUGGAAAUGGAUUCGAAAUAAGCUUUUAGAACGCAAUUUGCUUUUAAAUAGCUUUAUCAAACAGGGAGAUUUGAGAGAAGGUCAAAUGUCACAUCGAGAUAGUGUGACUUUUGUGCACAAGUGAGUUCUAGCUAGAGAACCUCUAGGCCGCUGACGGGUUGUUAGACAUGGCUGGGGCCUCGAUUUGUGAUAUAUACAUGGCAAGGCCACAGGUUGAUAAAUGUGGCUAGGCCACAAGCCGAUAUAUGUGGUUGCGACCAUAUGUUUUCUUCGAUGUCAGCCAAAAUCAUUGAGACUGCAAUGGUUGUGUGAAUCCGGUGGAACGGCUCUCCUAGAUUGUUAUUAUGUGGAAGCUAGUCCACGAGUUGAUUAUUUAUGAUUACCUACUUGAAAGUGAUAUCUCUUUGGGUUUUCAAACACAACUUCUUUUCCAUGGUGAGAAAUACAAGUGUUUCUACAGCUCCUUUAUUUAUAAAAUGAUUUUAUGUUUAAUACCUCGAGGAUGAGAUUAUUUAUGAGCUUGUGUAAAAGCUUUGAUAAUGUUUAAUUUCAUGGGAAUGUGUGUGCUUAUGUUAGUCUAAUUUUAAGUAAAGGACAUUAAAUGAUUUUGACGAUAGAAAUCUUUCGCUCACACUGGUUUUGAUACAAUGACUAUUAAAUGAUUACUUUGCAUUAAAAUUCUUGGUUUUAUAUGUAAGGCACAAAUGUUCCAUUUGCAUUAAAAUGGUUUAUAUAUUCAAAUGAUUUUAAUAUUCAAAUUAUCCAUCCUUAGCUUGUUUCCUAUCUAUACCCUACUCGUAGAGCCGAUGAUCACUGAGUUUGUGAGACUCACCCCCCUUAUCUCCCUUUUGUAGAUAGUGAUCGGCCUAAUGUGCAAUCAUUGGCACUUAUGGUCCACCGCGGAUAGGUAAAGGCAUCUCAUAGCACUUUAUUUUGAGUCGCUUCACUGUUGGUGGUCGAGUCGUUCGUAGUUCAUUUGUUUUCUUUUUUUGUAAAUAGACACUAAUUUCAAUACAAUUGUACAGUUUGA